Long non-coding RNA from Mus musculus (house mouse), 502 nucleotides. RefSeq annotates it as predicted gene, 53449. The transcript has 3 exons. NCBI's taxonomy places the organism in Eukaryota, Metazoa, Chordata, Mammalia, Rodentia, Muridae. The record is from RefSeq and is a predicted model, not a curated record.
UGAGACAAUGCAUCCUUGUUUUUCUUCCAGUGCUCCACACAAGCCCAGUUAGGCUGUUGGCAUGUACCGCCCCUCUUGGUCUGUCAUUGGACAGUGGAUUCCAUCAGAGUGAGGAUGGAGGGCUGUCUAAGCAGCCUGCAGCUUGUCACUUCUCAGGGAGUGGUUUGGGCUUCUCCAUCGAUGAUGGUCUCAUUCAUGUGGGCUCUGAGAUGACUUACAAGAAAACAUUUGAUAAGAGUCAUAAUAAAAUAUAAAUAAGAACAGCGAGGGAAGACACUCUUCACACUAGGACGAUGCAUUUCCCGGAUCCUGUGACCCUUCUGAACCACACUUCCCUCCAUUGCUCAAUCCUUGGGUGCAGAGAGGUCUCACAGUCACACGAUCUAAGGACAACACACAGCAGCCUCCUGCUCCGUGUGCCUCCUGCAGCUUCCAGGUGUGACCUUUUUGAAGUAGGCGUGGCACUGUGGGUGUGAGCUUUAAGACCUUCAUCCUAGCUGCC